RNAcentral lists this ribosomal RNA (499 nucleotides) under uncultured Glomeromycotina. Its description in RNAcentral is "partial small subunit ribosomal RNA". It matches the Rfam family "Eukaryotic small subunit ribosomal RNA", at positions 591 to 1092 of the family's 1831-position model. The record is from RNAcentral. Lineage: Eukaryota; Fungi; Glomeromycota.
CCAAUAGCGUAUAUUAAAGUUGUUGCAGUUAAAAAGCUCGUAGUUGAAUUUUGGGCCUGGUCGGGCGGUCCGCCUUCUGGGUGAGUACUGUCAUUGUGCCGGGUCUCUUCUUCUGGUGAGCUAGUGUGCUCUUUACUGGGUGCGCUAGGGAAUCAGGACUAUUACCUUGAAAAAAUUAGAGUGUUUAAAGCGGGCAUUUGCUUGAAUACAUUAGCAUGGAAUAAUGAAAUAGGACGGACGGUUCUAUUUUGUUGGUUAUGGGACCACCGUAAUGAUUAAUAGGGAUAGUUGGGGGCAUUAGUAUUCAAUUGUCAGAGGUGAAAUUCUUGGAUUUAUUGAAGACUAACUACUGCGAAAGCAUUUGCCAAGGAUGUUUUCAUUAAUCAAGAACGAAAGUUAGGGGAUCGAAGACGAUCAGAUACCGUCGUAGUCUUAACCAUAAACUAUGCCGACUAGGAAUCGGGCGAUGUUAUUUUAAUGACUCGCUCGGCACCUUAUG